Molecule: long non-coding RNA, 593 nt
Filed under: Elaeis guineensis (African oil palm)
Lineage: Eukaryota; Viridiplantae; Streptophyta; Magnoliopsida; Arecales; Arecaceae
Description: long non-coding RNA (EGUI_LNC077183)
Source: RNAcentral
UCCCCAUUAUUAAACCCCUGUUGUUGAAGGAAUUCUCCCUCGAGCCCCCUUUGAAGCGACGAAAAUCUUCAACGGCCGCUCGAUGAUCGGAGAACUCACAGACUGUUGUUUUCCUCCUUGCCCUCCUCCAAGCCCAUGGCAUCCUCUUGAGGAUGGCCUCCGAGGUGGAGGCCCUGGCGGGGGAACCCCUUAGAGAGGAAUCGGGGGGCUGGAGAUGACAGAGAGAUGGCAAAGACCGGCGUGGAGGACGCUCAGAGUUGGCAGGGGCACCGAUGGAGUGGCUGAGUAGCUAAGCUCUCAGACGAAGGAAGGGUGUCGUCCUUCAGGUGAGGUAAGGCCCUCGAAGGAAGGGUGGGGGGUUUAAAUAGGCAGCAGAUAUCAGCGCAAUUAUGGUGGCGAGUGUCCCUAGACCAAUCGGUGCUCACCACGUGUCCCGCGUGUCCCACUCGCCGCUACCGAGGGUUGACUGCUCGCAAACUUUCAUGACGCGAUGCUUGGGAUCACAUCCCGGUGGGGGUUCUGAAAAGACUCUUCGGGUCACCCUAAUCGAAAAAAGGGCUCCAGCAUGCGCGCAUUAAAUGCCGACAUAUCCA